RNAcentral lists this ribosomal RNA (433 nucleotides) under uncultured bacterium. Its description in RNAcentral is "partial 16S ribosomal RNA". It matches the Rfam family "Bacterial small subunit ribosomal RNA", at positions 29 to 507 of the family's 1533-position model. The record is from RNAcentral.
AGCGAACGCUGGCGGCAGGCCUAACACAUGCAAGUCGAACGAACUCUUCGAAGUUAGUGGCGGACGGGUGAGUAACACGUGGGAACGUGCCUUUUGGUUCGGAAUAACUCAGGGAAACUUGUGCUAAUACCGAAUGUGCCCUUCGGGGGAAAGAUUUAUCGCCAUUAGAGCGGCCCGCGUCUGAUUAGCUAGUUGGUGAGGUAACGGCUCACCAAGGCGACGAUCAGUAGCUGGUCUGAGAGGAUGACCAGCCACACUGGGACUGAGACACGGCCCAGACUCCUACGGGAGGCAGCAGUGGGGAAUCUUGCGCAAUGGGCGAAAGCCUGACGCAGCCAUGCCGCGUGAAUGAUGAAGGUCUUAGGAUUGUAAAAUUCUUUCACCGGGGACGAUAAUGACGGUACCCGGAGAAGAAGCCCCGGCUAACUUCGUG